RNAcentral lists this ribosomal RNA (433 nucleotides) under uncultured bacterium. RNAcentral's name for it is "partial 16S ribosomal RNA". It matches the Rfam family "Bacterial small subunit ribosomal RNA", at positions 29 to 507 of the family's 1533-position model. The record is from RNAcentral.
AACGAACGCUGGCGGCAUGCCUAACACAUGCAAGUCGAACGAGACCUCCGGGUCUAGUGGCGCACGGGUGCGUAACGCGUGGGAACCUGCCCUUAGGUUCGGAAUAACUCCCCGAAAGGGGUGCUAAUACCGGAUAAUGUCUUCGGACCAAAGAUUUAUCGCCUUUGGAUGGGCCCGCGUUGGAUUAGCUAGUUGGUAGGGUAAAAGCCUACCAAGGCGACGAUCCAUAGCUGGUCUGGGAGGAUGAUCAGCCACACUGGGACUGAGACACGGCCCAGACUCCUACGGGAGGCAGCAGUGGGGAAUAUUGGACAAUGGGCGAAAGCCUGAUCCAGCAAUGCCGCGUAAGUGAUGAAGGCCUUAGGGUUGUAAAGCUCUUUUACCCGGGAUGAUAAUGACAGUACCGGGAGAAUAAGCUCCGGCUAACUCCGUG